ACAGCUGAAACGAGUCGUUAGUAAUUCCAGACUUUACUUCCUGUACUAACCUACGUAGGUUUGUAACAAAACCUCCCGCUUCUGGUCUUUUUUUUCCGAAGGAGCUGAAACGCGUUACGGUAGUGGGAGUUUCCUUUUUGACACACGCUGACAGUGGUAGACCAGUCACAACAAACUGGGACAUUUGACCAAUCAGAGCAGAGUAUGCUCUCUGAAAGGAGGAGUUUAGAAUGAAUCCUUUAGAACAGAACAUUGAACGAGUCGUUUGUGACACUGGCGGAAAAAAGUGUUGUGUGGAGCCGCUGAUGGUGUGUGUUCAUUCCAAAGAGGAAAAUCAGGAAAGCUUAUGGGAGCAGACACAGGAUCAGCCGAACACUCCGUCUAGACGAAGAUACUGCACCUGCAUUCCUCAGCCUGCGACUCAUAGCAGCUUACUUAAUGCCACUGUUGAGAAACACUCGUGGGCACAAAGAGGACCGGCAGGCCACAACACACACACACACACACACACACACACACACGCACACACUUUUGCUAUCCUUGUAAGGAACAUCCACUGCCAUGAUUACUUUAUAAACAAAAGGUUACAUUUUUUCUCUAUUAUUAUAAUUGUUAUUAAUACUA
This is a long non-coding RNA of Ictalurus furcatus (blue catfish), 624 nucleotides long. RefSeq lists it as uncharacterized. NCBI's taxonomy places the organism in Eukaryota, Metazoa, Chordata, Actinopteri, Siluriformes, Ictaluridae. The record is from RefSeq and is a predicted model, not a curated record. The transcript has 2 exons.